RNAcentral lists this long non-coding RNA (1206 nucleotides) under Pogona vitticeps (central bearded dragon). RNAcentral describes it as "lncRNA (ENSPVIG00000005579.1)". The record is from RNAcentral. Lineage: Eukaryota; Metazoa; Chordata; Lepidosauria; Squamata; Agamidae.
CAAUUGUACAUCAGCUUCCAGCUUUCCUUUACAGAGUGUCUCAGUUGAUCCCAUAUUGCCUCUGAAAGCAUAUCUAGUUCUGCAAAAUCCAGGAGCUUCUUUAGUAGCUUAGAAAUGCAGACUUUUUAUUACAGAUUUUAACAGCCUUUUGAAAAAUCCUAAUCCCCAAUUUGAGUCAGUCAUAAUUAGGUAGAAUUUUUCCAUCUGCAACCAUAUUCACAUUUAUAUUUCCCUCAGGCAAAAUAGUUUGCACAUACAUAUAUUUUUAUUUAUUCUUAAAGAAAAAAGUCAUAAUCUGAGAAAGGGUUUUUUUGUGAAAUAUGGGCUGACUUGACACAUACUUUUUAAAAAGUUGCUCCUUUAAUGGUUAAGAUGCCAAGAAUUAGAAGAGAGAGCUCAUUAUCUUAUCUUUAAAGUUGUGCAUAGCUUUAAAAGAAUAUUUUUUGCCUCAAAUAUGUUUGUUACACAAUUAAAUUGCACUCAAACAAUGUUUGUGUGUGUUUGGUAAAGUUUAACACAACAUCCAGUUGCUCAAUGAUUCUUUUGAAGGAACAGCUAUGGUGAAUGUUGCAUAACCUGUGCUUUUUCCCUCCCCUUAAGUUUUUUUAAUCCUUUGAGUUACUCUUAAAACUAUCUCUACUCAGGCUAAGAAAUGAGCUUCAGAAUCGUUAAGAGCUUGUUUUCUAUGAAAGAAAAAAAUUUUAAGGGCAGCACAUUUGUUUUUAGCUGAUAUUGAAAUUUGAACCAGUGAAUUCCAGGCUUCCCUACUUUCCUAUCAAAUCAGCUUCUCCCACUGCAUGUACUAGUGGUACAUGUAACCCACUGGUUCUCAGCCAGAAAGUUACAUGUACCAUUGGUGAAAGCUCAAACUGGUAAUAAUUGAGUAAUUUUAAAUCUCUCUCAUAGCUCCUUUCUCUGUUUAACAAGACAGAAUGUCAGGAAUUUAUUGAUUUAACCCAAUUUAACUUCCAUUGUUAACAAGGUUUUUAUCUUGUUAAUCAUUGCUUCCGUUUUUUCCCUUAGAGGCCACAAGCUAGGCAGUUCUCCCUUCGUUUCUAAAGGUAUAUAUGAGAUGCUUGGGCUGGUAAACUGGAAUUCCUUGACAGAGUAAACUGGAAUUCCUUGACAGAGUACAGAGUAAAUUGAUUAUAUUAUUUUUUAAAGCUAAGAACAAUGAAUAAAAUAAUUGUGGAUUUAUUUGUUUCA